UGCCUAAUACAUGCAAGUCGAACGCAUUGUGGUUGAAAUGAUAUGAAGAACUUGUUCAGAUUUGAUUUUCAACAUUGCAAUGAGUGGCGAACGGGUGAGUAACACGUGGGAAACCUACCUCUUAGCAGGGGAUAACAUUUGGAAACAAAUGCUAAUACCGUAUAAUAAUUAAAACCGCAUGGUUUUAGUUUAAAAGAUGGUCUUGCUAUCACUAAGAGAUGGUCCCGCGAUGUAUUAGUUAGUUGGUGCGGUAAUGGCUCACCAAGACAAUGAUACAUAGCCGAGUUGAGAGACUGACCGGCCACAAUGGGACUGAGACACGGCCCAUACUCCUACGGGAGGCAGCAGUAGGGAAUCUUCCACAAUGGACGAAAGUCUGAUGGAGCAACGCCGCGUGUGUGAUGAAGGGUUUCGGCUCGUAAAACACUGUUGUAAGAGAAGAAUGACAUUGAGAGUAACUGUUCAAUGUGUGACGGUAUCUUACCAGAAAGGAACGGCUAAAUACGUG
This 508-nucleotide ribosomal RNA is filed under the name uncultured bacterium. RNAcentral's name for it is "bacterial SSU rRNA". It matches the Rfam family "Bacterial small subunit ribosomal RNA", at positions 45 to 507 of the family's 1533-position model. The record is from RNAcentral.